RNAcentral lists this ribosomal RNA (459 nucleotides) under uncultured bacterium. Its description in RNAcentral is "partial 16S ribosomal RNA". It matches the Rfam family "Bacterial small subunit ribosomal RNA", at positions 338 to 795 of the family's 1533-position model. The record is from RNAcentral.
CCUACGGGAGGCAGCAGUGAGGAAUAUUGGUCAAUGGGAGCGAUCCUGAACCAGCAAAGCCGCGUGAGGGAAGACGGCCCUAUGGUUUGUAAACCUCUUUUUGCGGAGAACAAAACCCGGCACGUCUCCCGGACUGCGUGUCUCCGAAGAAAAAGCAUCGCCUAACUCCGUGCCAGCAGCCGCGGUAAUACGGAGGAUGCGAGCGUUAUCCGGAUUUAUUGGGUUUAAAGGGUGCGUAGGGGGUACGUGAAGGCAGCGGUAAAAUUGCGGGGCUAAACCCCGUCGGGCCGUUGAAACUGGCAGACGUGAGUUGGCGAGAAGCACGCGGAAUGCGCGGUGUAGCGGUGAAAUGCAUAGAUAUAGCGCAGAACUCCGAUUGCGAAGGCAGAGUACCGGAGCCAGACUGACGCUGAGGCACGAAAGCGUGGGGAUCGAACAGGAUUAGAUACCCGAGUAGUC